GACGAACGCUGGCGGCGUGCCUAAUACAUGCAAGUCGAGCGAAGUUUUUCUGGUGCUUGCACCGGAAAAACUUAGCGGCGAACGGGUGAGUAACACGUAAAGAACCUGCCUCAUAGACUGGGACAACUAUUGGAAACGAUAGCUAAUACCGGAUAAUAGCAUUAACUGCAUGGUUGAUGUUUAACAGUUGGUUUUGCUAACACUAUGAGAUGGCUUUGCGGUGCAUUAGCUAGUUGGUGGGGUAAAGGCCUACCAAGGCGACGAUGCAUAGCCGACCUGAGAGGGUGAUCGGCCACACUGGGACUGAGACACGGCCCAGACUCCUACGGGAGGCAGCAGUAGGGAAUCUUCCGCAAUGGGCGAAAGCCUGACGGAGCAACGCCGCGUGAGUGAAGAAGGAUUUCGGUUCGUAAAGCUCUGUUGUUAGGAAAGAAUGAUUGUGUAGUAACUAUACACAGUAGAGACGGUACCUAACCAGAAAGCAACGGCUAACUACGUG
RNAcentral lists this ribosomal RNA (499 nucleotides) under uncultured bacterium. Its description in RNAcentral is "partial 16S ribosomal RNA". It matches the Rfam family "Bacterial small subunit ribosomal RNA", at positions 28 to 507 of the family's 1533-position model. The record is from RNAcentral.